Formica exsecta is the source of this 1369-nucleotide long non-coding RNA. RefSeq lists it as uncharacterized. The record is from RefSeq and is a predicted model, not a curated record. The transcript has 2 exons. Lineage: Eukaryota; Metazoa; Arthropoda; Insecta; Hymenoptera; Formicidae.
AAUUUGGCAACAAUUUGUUAUCAAAUUGCUUACUGGGUAAUUGUACGAUUCUGUAACAAAUCGCCACGAUACACUAGGUGCACGAUACAUUAAGUGUGCUAUAUUCAUUUUAAUAAUAAUAUGUACAGUUUCUCAUUGUAUAAAAAACUAUAGUUUUGAUUAUGUAAAUAAAAUAACAAUAAACUCAUUAGUGAUGUAUGAUAUAUCAUAAGUCAUCUUAAAAAAAUCUUACUUUUUUUAUAUGUAUUCUGCGCGAAUCUGUGAUAAAUAUAUAUAGGAUAUAUGUAAAAUAUAUGUAUAGUUCAAUAAUUAAGGAUAUAUUUCAUAUUGAAAAAAAAACGCGAUUUUUGAUAAAUUAAAUUAAUUACAAAAUUAGAGGUACGCAGUAUGGAACAAUUAUGUUUCUUACAAUGACAUAGGAAAAUUUAUACAAUUUAUAUUAAGUGACUUAGAAGUAUCCCUGGAAAAAACUAAUAUUUAAAAUAUGAUCAGUGCUUCUUCGUGUUCUUCAACAAUUUCUAUUAUUUACAUUUACUUGAAUACCAUAAGACAAAUGGAAUAAGUAGAGAAGGUAGAGUCAUUACAGCGAAUGCAGCCCAAUUAACCCGUGAGACACAACAGAAUAUGAUUACAUUGAGACAAUGACAUUUUAAUUGUAGAAUACAUGAAUGGGUGGAUGAAUCUAUUUACUUUAGAUUACAUAAAACUCUUACAUAUGCAGUAUAAUUAUUGCAAGUUUGUUACAAAGAAAACAAUACAAUUGUGUAUGUAUGUUGUGACGGGCGUUCUAUUAAUGUGGAAAUAAUUUAUAAUAAUUUUACGUAGAAUUAAACAUCAAAUUAAACAUCGUACAAUUAAAAAUCAAAGUUCACAAAAUGAUGAAAAAUUAAGUAUAAAAAUAUACACAAGAGCCAUAGGAUAUAUAAUUUGUAUCUAUAUAUAAGUAUAUAUAUUGCACUAUAUAAAUUGUUUGCUUUCUUACUUCCUACUAAAUUUUCAAAAUAACUGCGAGGCUAUUCCUCCACAGGAUUCUAUAAUCCUUCAUUAUGAAUAGUAUCUGUAGAAUAGUUGCAAUUGUACUUAUAUGAGAUGAAAACUGUUUGCCAUAGUUUCUGUAUACCACAAUGAGUCCUUUACCAGAUUUGUUGCUUACAGCCACUUUUGUAAUCUAGGAGCCUCUUGAAAGCGAUGGUACAAAACUUCAGCGAAGCGUUUAAUUCGUCUCUCACAUGAGUAAAAUGGUCUGCAAUGGAAUGAAUUGUCUGUGAUCUUAACUUCAAAUGCAGCCACAUUGCCAGUAUUACAAAUAGUAUAUUGUAAACUUCAUUUUUUUUAAUAAAAAGAUAUGUUUGUGUGAUAUUUUAUUAAA